This 292-nucleotide ribosomal RNA is filed under the name uncultured bacterium. RNAcentral describes it as "partial 16S ribosomal RNA". It matches the Rfam family "Bacterial small subunit ribosomal RNA", at positions 505 to 796 of the family's 1533-position model. The record is from RNAcentral.
GUGCCAGCAGCCGCGGUAAUACAGAGGGUGCGAGCGUUGUUCGGAAUUACUGGGCGUAAAGCGCGUGUAGGCGGUUUCGCAAGUCAGGUGUGAAAUCCCGGGGCUCAACUCCGGAAGUGCACUUGAAACUACGAGGCUUGAGUAUGGUAGAGGAUGGCGGAAUACCCAGUGUAGAGGUGAAAUUCGUAGAUAUUGGGUAGAACACCGGUGGCGAAGGCGGCCAUCUGGGCCAUAACUGACGCUGAGACGCGAAAGCGUGGGGAUCAAACAGGAUUAGAUACCCCGGUAGUCC